GACGAACGCUGGCGGCGUGCUUAAUACAUGCAAGUCGAACGGAAAGGCCCUGCUUUUGUGGGGUGCUCGAGUGGCGAACGGGUGAGUAACACGUGAGUAACCUGCCCUUGACUUUGGGAUAACUUCAGGAAACUGGGGCUAAUACCGGAUAGGAGCUCCUGCUGCAUGGUGGGGGUUGGAAAGUUUCGGCGGUUGGGGAUGGACUCGCGGCUUAUCAGCUUGUUGGUGGGGUAGUGGCUUACCAAGGCUUUGACGGGUAGCCGGCCUGAGAGGGUGACCGGCCACAUUGGGACUGAGAUACGGCCCAGACUCCUACGGGAGGCAGCAGUGGGGAAUAUUGCACAAUGGGCGGAAGCCUGAUGCAGUAACGCCGCGUGCGGGAUGACGGCCUUCGGGUUGUAAACCGCUUUCGCCUGUGACGAAGCGUGAGUGACGGUAAUGGGUAAAGAAGCACCGGCUAACUACGUG
RNAcentral lists this ribosomal RNA (468 nucleotides) under uncultured bacterium. RNAcentral's name for it is "partial 16S ribosomal RNA". It matches the Rfam family "Bacterial small subunit ribosomal RNA", at positions 28 to 507 of the family's 1533-position model. The record is from RNAcentral.